Molecule: small nucleolar RNA, 120 nt
Filed under: Echinops telfairi (small Madagascar hedgehog)
Lineage: Eukaryota; Metazoa; Chordata; Mammalia; Afrosoricida; Tenrecidae
Description: Small nucleolar RNA SNORA61 (ENSETEG00000025822.1)
Source: RNAcentral
AACCUCUAGAUUUCUUACUCUUCAGAUGUAAAUAUUGGUUUGAAUGGCUGAAAAAGAGGAUAAGGAAAACUGAACUAGACUUGGAGUCUUUAUUGACGUACAAGUUCAUUUCAAAUAUGG